RNAcentral lists this transfer RNA (76 nucleotides) under Sporomusaceae bacterium. RNAcentral's name for it is "tRNA-His". It matches the Rfam family "tRNA". From Rfam's summary of the family: Transfer RNA (tRNA) molecules are approximately 80 nucleotides in length. Lineage: Bacteria; Bacillati; Bacillota; Negativicutes; Selenomonadales; Sporomusaceae. The record is from RNAcentral.
GUGGCUAUGGUGAAGUGGUUAACACGGCGGAUUGUGGCUCCGUUACUCGAGGGUUCGAGUCCCUCUAGUCACCCCA